Molecule: ribosomal RNA, 625 nt
Filed under: Burkholderia cenocepacia
Lineage: Bacteria; Pseudomonadati; Pseudomonadota; Betaproteobacteria; Burkholderiales; Burkholderiaceae
Description: partial 23S ribosomal RNA
Rfam family: Bacterial large subunit ribosomal RNA
Source: RNAcentral
AAGGGGUGACGGCGUACCUUUUGUAUAAUGGGUCAGCGACUUACGUUCAGUAGCAAGCUUAACCGUAUAGGGCAGGCGUAGCGAAAGCGAGUCCGAAUAGGGCGUUCAGUUGCUGGGCGUAGACCCGAAACCAGGUGAUCUAUCCAUGGCCAGGAUGAAGGUGCGGUAACACGUACUGGAGGUCCGAACCCACUAACGUUGAAAAGUUAGGGGAUGAGCUGUGGAUAGGGGUGAAAGGCUAAACAAACCUGGAAAUAGCUGGUUCUCUCCGAAAACUAUUUAGGUAGUGCCUCGUGUCUCACCUUCGGGGGUAGAGCACUGUCAUGGUUGGGGGGUCUAUUGCAGAUUACCCCGCCAUAGCAAACUCCGAAUACCGAAGAGUGCAAUCACGGGAGACAGACAUCGGGUGCUAACGUCCGGUGUCAAGAGGGAAACAACCCAGACCGCCAGCUAAGGUCCCCAAAUAUAGCUAAGUGGGAAACGAAGUGGGAAGGCUAAAACAGUCAGGAGGUUGGCUUAGAAGCAGCCACCCUUUAAAGAAAGCGUAAUAGCUCACUGAUCGAGUCGUCCUGCGCGGAAGAUGUAACGGGGCUAAGCUAUAUACCGAAGCUGCGGAUGCGAGCUU